CCAGACUCCUACGGGAGGCAGCAGUGAGGAAUAUUGGUCAAUGGCCGCAGGGCUGAACCAGCCAAGUCGCGUGAGGGAUGACGGUCCUAUGGAUUGUAAACCUCUUUUGUCAGGGAGCAAAGGGCGCAACGUGUGGCGUUUUGCGAGUACCUGAAGAAAAAGCAUCGGCUAACUCCGUGCCAGCAGCCGCGGUAAUACGGAGGAUGAGAGCGUUAUCCGGAUUUAUUGGGUUUAAAGGGUGCGUAGGCGGAAUAUCAAGUCAGCGGUAAAAAUUCGGGGCUCAACCCCGUCGUGCCGUUGAAACUGAUGUUCUUGAGUGGGCGAGAAGUAUGCGGAAUGCGUGGUGUAGCGGUGAAAUGCAUAGAUAUCACGCAGAACUCCGAUUGCGAAGGCAGCAUACCGGCGCCCAACUGACGCUGAAGCACGAAAGCGUGGGUAUCGAACAGGAUUAGAUACCCGCGUAC
Molecule: ribosomal RNA, 464 nt
Filed under: uncultured bacterium
Lineage: Bacteria
Description: bacterial SSU rRNA
Rfam family: Bacterial small subunit ribosomal RNA
Source: RNAcentral